GUUAGGAAUAUUGGACAAUGGGCGAAAGCCUGAUCCAGCCAUGCCGCGUGAACGAUGAAGGCCUUCGGGUUGUAAAGUUCUUUAGCCGAUGAUUAUAAUGACUGUAGUCGGAAAAUAAGCCCCGGCUAACUUCGUGCCAGCAGCCGCGGUAAUACGAAGGGGGCGAGCGUUAUUCGGAAUCACUGGGCGUAAAGCGUGCGUAGGCGGUUUUGUAAGUUAGGAGUGAAAGCCCAGGGCUCAACCUUGGAAUUGCUCUUAAAACUGCAAGGAUCGAAUCUCGGAGAGGAUAGCGGAAUUUCCAGUGUAGCAGUGAAAUGCGUAGAUAUUGGAAGGAACACCAGUGGCGUAAGCGGCUAUCUGGACGAGUAUUGACGCUGAGGCACGAAAGCGUGGGGAUCAAACAGGAUUAGAAACCCGGGUAGUCC
RNAcentral lists this ribosomal RNA (425 nucleotides) under uncultured bacterium. Its description in RNAcentral is "partial 16S ribosomal RNA". It matches the Rfam family "Bacterial small subunit ribosomal RNA", at positions 354 to 796 of the family's 1533-position model. The record is from RNAcentral.